UUCAUAUCAACACACAAUUGUAUUGAAGGAAGGAGUUCUUUGUUCUAAAACCAAAUUAAGAUGAAGAUUAUCAUUUCAAUUUUAAUCAUUAUGCUCGUGUUUUCUGUUGGAAUUGGGCCAAUGAAAGUGAUAGAGGCAAGAAUAUGUAAAGAAAA
Non-coding RNA from Cajanus cajan (pigeon pea), 155 nucleotides. Lineage: Eukaryota; Viridiplantae; Streptophyta; Magnoliopsida; Fabales; Fabaceae. The record is from RefSeq and is a predicted model, not a curated record.